CACUGUUCUGUUUUGACUUCAGUUUCGAGGUUUGGACGGAACAGUGUUUUGUUCCAAAUUUCAUUUCGAGUCGAAAAAGCUGUUCCAUUUCGCUUUGUCAAAACAGUGAGGCUGUUUCGACGCUGUUUUGAUGUUUCACCUGACUAUCAGGGUGGGGAAACAAACUCAGCCCGGCUGGGAUGAGUUCGUUUCCCCAGCAUGACCAUUGGGCUGGGGAAACAAAACUUUCAAAACAUUUCAACUAGCCUCGUUUUGUUUCAAGGCUGUUUCAAACUCCUUUGUUUCAAUUCGAUUUCACUGUUUUGAGCUCAAAAUGAGUUGAAACAGUUUUGACUUGAAACAGCUGGAGAAAUUUCACACAGCCUUAGUCUAUAGUAUUUUUUUCUAUUUCUCUGCCCAUCUCUCUCUCAUCCUUUCUAUAUACUUUCUAUAUAAUAUUAGAAUUGUACUCUAUUCCAGACCAAUAAGGGACAUAUUUACAGAGCAACGAAAGGUCUCAUCACGGAGCAACCUCAUCACUGCUCAAGAAGUCCUUUGCUGGUUAAGUACACGACUGUCUCCUGGGUACAUGAUUUGCAUUGCUAUUUCAUCAGAACAAUAACCUUGAAAAAGUGACCAGAUUCAAUCAAGGCAAAGCAAUCAGCUUCCAUUAGAUGAGUCAGUAGUAUUUUCCUGUAGGGCUCAAUCAAGCAUCCCUAAAGCAAGCAAGACUCUCUUUUUGGAAGAGAAAAAUGUAAACAACAAACAAACACUCCCAUGGUCUAUAAUUUUACUUAAGUAUGUACUGCAAGUUCAAGUCUGAUGGUAGCAUGAUUGAGUAAAUCAAGUCACAGCUCUUAUUACAAUAUGUUAAUUUAGUAUUAUAUGAAUUCACUGAUUUAAAAACAAACUCUGCAACACUUGAAUACUGUCUGAUAAUGCCUUUUCCUGAAUAAAAAUAGACAUACUAUUGAAACGCAUCCAUCAGUUCUACUAGACAAACUUCCAUUUUAAUACAUUAUUUCCUUUCUGUUUUAGAAUUUUUAAGUUUUGCAAACUCUAACCGGUAGAAUUGUAAUCCACAAAAAUUUCUGUAAUCUAAUGAGAGGUCUGGAAGAUGCUAUGGGAACUGUCUGCAGUGAAUUAAGUUUAUUACAGAGUUAUAAUUAAUGUACACUAAUUAUUUAGUAUCUUUUCCACUAUCUUGGUAUUCAUCCCAUGAAGCUUUGUGAAGUGUUCCUAUUUAUUCACUGUGUGCUUAUAAUGAAUAGGAAAGUGUUAAAUAAAAGCAUUUUAAUUGUUUGCUGCUCUGUUCAGACCAUGCAUGAUAUAUAUCUAUUUUUAAUUCUCAUCUGUAUCAUGGUAUAUUAAUUUUUAAAAAAUUGUGUUGCUUUAAGGUUGCUUAAAAAUAUUCUUCAUGUCCCUGUUCUGGAGAUUUUGUUCAGGUACAACAUACAUUAAGAUGACUGAAAUUUCGUCUGUACAAAGGCUGCAAGGGGAGGUAUUUUAAUGUUUUAAUUAGAGCUACUUAAUGUGAUUUCUUUCCUUCUAAAUCUUGAAUAUUAAUCAAUGCAGACAGAGCUUGACUUUUUAAUGAAAUAUGGUUUCUCUUCAAUACUUCAAAAUCAUAACUAGGAGGAUAUGUUAACAUUUUGACAGGUUGCAGUAGGGAUAGAUAAAAAGUCCAAAUUUGUUUGAGAUUUAUACCAUGUUUCUUAAAUUGUCUUAAACACACUUUUUACUGUGGACAAAUAAAAAUUGUAGCUAUUAUGUACUGAAGAGUAUCCCUUAUAUUAUCAUGAACAUCUUAUGUUUAGUUAGUGUAAAUAAUGGUCAUAACUGACGGAGCAAUUAAAAAAUGGCUCAGUGGUUCUACUUUUAUCUGUAACCUAAAAGGGUAGGUGUCAAGUGCCAAAUUAUAUUAAAGAUAGUGUGGAAACACAUCUUCUGAAAUGCACAUCAAAUCUUCCUUUUCCCUUUACAGUAUUUUUCCUAUUUGAUAGAACCAAUGAUCCUCAGCCCACUGGUGGACUGUGCAGGCAGCAGCAUAACAACAGGCACAUGUGACUGCUCCACAGGCCCAAAACCAGUUGGAAGCAGUCCUCCGGCAUCCCAGGAAACACUAUUCCCAGGCACUCUAUAUCUUCCCCCACAGUGACAGAGGGGGGAACACCUAAAGAACAGUCCCCAAGGCUGCCAUGGACAGAGGGCAUACCACUGCUUCCCACUGGAGCGGAGCUGUGGGCCUCAGCAUCCCACCUCCAAACUGCUGACACCUAAGAGAGAGAGCCUCAGAGUGAAGCCUGCACCCUGACCAGAUGUACUUUGACUCUGAUGACAGCCCUAGAAUUGGUAAAUAUAGAAUUGUUUGAUUGUUGUAUUGUUGCUUUUUUGGUCUUACUCUGUAUCAAUAAACUCCCCUUUAUCAACUGGCA
Long non-coding RNA from Alligator mississippiensis (American alligator), 2414 nucleotides. RefSeq lists it as uncharacterized. The transcript is spliced from 3 exons. NCBI's taxonomy places the organism in Eukaryota, Metazoa, Chordata, Crocodylia, Alligatoridae. The record is from RefSeq and is a predicted model, not a curated record.